RNAcentral lists this ribosomal RNA (1540 nucleotides) under Salmonella enterica subsp. enterica serovar Enteritidis. RNAcentral describes it as "partial 23S ribosomal RNA". It matches the Rfam family "Bacterial large subunit ribosomal RNA", at positions 1280 to 2803 of the family's 2925-position model. The record is from RNAcentral. Lineage: Bacteria; Pseudomonadati; Pseudomonadota; Gammaproteobacteria; Enterobacterales; Enterobacteriaceae.
UAUCAGAAGUGCGAAUGCUGACAUAAGUAACGAUAAAGCGGGUGAAAAGCCCGCUCGCCGGAAGACCAAGGGUUCCUGUCCAACGUUAAUCGGGGCAGGGUGAGUCGACCCCUAAGGCGAGGCCGAAAGGCGUAGUCGAUGGGAAACGGGUUAAUAUUCCCGUACUUGGUGUUACUGCGAAGGGGGGACGGAGAAGGCUAUGUUGGCCGGGCGACGGUUGUCCCGGUUUAAGCGUGUAGGUGUGUGUUCCAGGUAAAUCCGGUUCACUUUAACACUGAGGCGUGACGACGAGGCACUACGGUGCUGAAGCAACAAAUGCCCUGCUUCCAGGAAAAGCCUCUAAGCAUCAGGUAACAUCAAAUCGUACCCCAAACCGACACAGGUGGUCAGGUAGAGAAUACCAAGGCGCUUGAGAGAACUCGGGUGAAGGAACUAGGCAAAAUGGUGCCGUAACUUCGGGAGAAGGCACGCUGACACGUAGGUGAAGUGAUUUACUCAUGGAGCUGAAGUCAGUCGAAGAUACCAGCUGGCUGCAACUGUUUAUUAAAAACACAGCACUGUGCAAACACGAAAGUGGACGUAUACGGUGUGACGCCUGCCCGGUGCCGGAAGGUUAAUUGAUGGGGUCAGCGCAAGCGAAGCUCCUGAUCGAAGCCCCGGUAAACGGCGGCCGUAACUAUAACGGUCCUAAGGUAGCGAAAUUCCUUGUCGGGUAAGUUCCGACCUGCACGAAUGGCGUAAUGAUGGCCAGGCUGUCUCCACCCGAGACUCAGUGAAAUUGAACUCGCUGUGAAGAUGCAGUGUACCCGCGGCAAGACGGAAAGACCCCGUGAACCUUUACUAUAGCUUGACACUGAACAUUGAGCCUUGAUGUGUAGGAUAGGUGGGAGGCUUUGAAGUGUGGACGCCAGUCUGCAUGGAGCCGACCUUGAAAUACCACCCUUUAAUGUUUGAUGUUCUAACGUGGACCCGUUACCCGGGUUGCGGACAGUGUCUGGUGGGUAGUUUGACUGGGGCGGUCUCCUCCUAAAGAGUAACGGAGGAGCACGAAGGUUGGCUAAUCCUGGUCGGACAUCAGGAGGUUAGUGCAAUGGCAUAAGCCAGCUUGACUGCGAGCGUGACGGCGCGAGCAGGUGCGAAAGCAGGUCAUAGUGAUCCGGUGGUUCUGAAUGGAAGGGCCAUCGCUCAACGGAUAAAAGGUACUCCGGGGAUAACAGGCUGAUACCGCCCAAGAGUUCAUAUCGACGGCGGUGUUUGGCACCUCGAUGUCGGCUCAUCACAUCCUGGGGCUGAAGUAGGUCCCAAGGGUAUGGCUGUUCGCCAUUUAAAGUGGUACGCGAGCUGGGUUUAGAACGUCGUGAGACAGUUCGGUCCCUAUCUGCCGUGGGCGCUGGAGAACUGAGGGGGGCUGCUCCUAGUACGAGAGGACCGGAGUGGACGCAUCACUGGUGUUCGGGUUGUCAUGCCAAUGGCACUGCCCGGUAGCUAAAUGCGGAAGAGAUAAGUGCUGAAAGCAUCUAAGCACGAAACUUGCCCCGAG